Molecule: ribosomal RNA, 742 nt
Filed under: uncultured bacterium
Lineage: Bacteria
Description: bacterial SSU rRNA
Rfam family: Bacterial small subunit ribosomal RNA
Source: RNAcentral
CUACCAUGCAGUCGAGCGAAGUGAGAUUAGAAGAAAUCUUCGGAUGGAAUCUAAACUUAUCUUAGCGGCGGACGGGUGAGUAACGCGUGAGGAACCUGCCUUUCACAAAGGGAUAGCCUCGGGAAACUGGGAUUAAUACCUUAUGAAACUAUAAUAUCGCAUGGUAAGAUAGUUAAAGCGAAAGCGGUGAAAGAUGGACUCGCGUCCCAUUAGUUAGUUGGUGAGGUAAAGGCCCACCAAGGCAGCGAUGGGUAGCCGGCCUGAGAGGGUGAACGGCCACACUGGAACUGAGAGACGGUCCAGACUCCUACGGGAGGCAGCAGUGGGGAAUAUUGCACAAUGGAGGGAACUCUGAUGCAGCGACGCCGCGUGAACGAAGAAGGCUUUCGGGUCGUAAAGUUCUGUCCUUGGGGACGAUAAUGACGGUACCCAAGGAGGAAGCCCCGGCUAACUACGUGCCAGCAGCCGCGGUAAUACGUAGGGGGCGAGCGUUGUCCGGAAUUAUUGGGCGUAAAGGGUUCGCAGGCGGUUACAUAAGUCAGAUGUGAAAGCCAUAGGCUUAACCUAUGUAAGCAUUUGAAACUGAGUAACUUGAGUUAAGGAGAGGAAAGUGGAAUUCCUAGUGUAGCGGUGAAAUGCGUAGAUAUUAGGAGGAAUACCAGUGGCGAAGGCGACUUUCUGGACUUAAACUGACGCUGAGGAACGAAAGCGUGGGGAGCAAACAGGAUUAGAUACCCUGGUA